RNAcentral lists this ribosomal RNA (557 nucleotides) under uncultured fungus. Its description in RNAcentral is "SSU rRNA". It matches the Rfam family "Eukaryotic small subunit ribosomal RNA", at positions 194 to 755 of the family's 1831-position model. Lineage: Eukaryota; Fungi. The record is from RNAcentral.
GGAAGGGGUGUAUUUAUUAGAUAAAAAACCAACGCCCUUCGGGGCUUCUUGGUGAUUCAUGAUAACUUCACGGAUCGCAUGGCCUUGCGCCGGCGACGGUUCAUUCAAAUUUCUGCCCUAUCAACUUUCGAUGGUAGGAUAGUGGCCUACCAUGGUGGCAACGGGUAACGGGGAAUUAGGGUUCGAUUCCGGAGAGGGAGCCUGAGAAACGGCUACCACAUCCAAGGAAGGCAGCAGGCGCGCAAAUUACCCAAUCCCGAUACGGGGAGGUAGUGACAAUAAAUACUGAUACAGGGCUCUUUUGGGUCUUGUAAUUGGAAUGAGUACAAUUUAAACCCCUUAACGAGGAACAAUUGGAGGGCAAGUCUGGUGCCAGCAGCCGCGGUAAUUCCAGCUCCAAUAGCGUAUAUUAAAGUUGUUGUGGUUAAAAAGCCCGUAGUUGAACCUUGGGCCUGGCUGGCCGGUCCGCCUCACCGCGUGUACUGGUCCGGCCGGGCCUUUCCCUCUGUGGAACCCCAUGCCCUUCACUGGGCGUGGCGGGGAACCAGGACUUUUAC